CCUACGGGUGGCAGCAGUGAGGAAUAUUGGUCAAUGGGCGUAAGCCUGAACCAGCCAAGCCGCGUGAGGGAUGACGGUUCUAUGGAUCGUAAACCUCUUUUAUAAGGGAAUAAAGUGCGGGACGUGUCCCGUUUUGAAUGUAUCUUAUGAAUAAGGAUCGGCUAACUCCGUGCCAGCAGCCGCGGUAAUACGGAGGAUUCGAGCGUUAUCCGGAUUUAUUGGGUUUAAAGGGUGCGUAGGCGGUCUUUUAAGUCAGCGGUGAAAGUCUGUGGCUCAACCUUGGAAUUGCCGUUGAAACUGGGAGGCUUGAGUGUGUUUGAGGUAGGCGGAAUGCGUGGUGUAGCGGUGAAAUGCUUAGAUAUCACGCAGAACCCCGAUUGCGAAGGAAGCCUGCCAAGCCAUGACUGACGCUGAGGCACGAAAGCGUGGGGAUCAAACAGGAUUAGAUACCCUGGUAGUC
RNAcentral lists this ribosomal RNA (460 nucleotides) under uncultured bacterium. RNAcentral describes it as "partial 16S ribosomal RNA". It matches the Rfam family "Bacterial small subunit ribosomal RNA", at positions 338 to 795 of the family's 1533-position model. The record is from RNAcentral.